This 585-nucleotide ribosomal RNA is filed under the name Hanseniaspora uvarum. RNAcentral describes it as "eukaryotic LSU rRNA". It matches the Rfam family "Eukaryotic large subunit ribosomal RNA", at positions 53 to 652 of the family's 3401-position model. Lineage: Eukaryota; Fungi; Ascomycota; Saccharomycetes; Saccharomycodales; Saccharomycodaceae. The record is from RNAcentral.
GAGGAAAAGAAACCAACUGGGAUUACCUUAGUAACGGCGAGUGAAGCGGUAAAAGCUCAAAUUUGAAAUCUGGUACUUUCAGUGCCCGAGUUGUAAUUUGUAGAAUUUGUCUUUGAUUAGGUCCUUGUCUAUGUUCCUUGGAACAGGACGUCAUAGAGGGUGAGAAUCCCGUUUGGCGAGGAUACCUUUUCUCUGUAAGACUUUUUCGAAGAGUCGAGUUGUUUGGGAAUGCAGCUCAAAGUGGGUGGUAAAUUCCAUCUAAAGCUAAAUAUUGGCGAGAGACCGAUAGCGAACAAGUACAGUGAUGGAAAGAUGAAAAGAACUUUGAAAAGAGAGUGAAAAAGUACGUGAAAUUGUUGAAAGGGAAGGGCAUUUGAUCAGACAUGGUGUUUUUUGCAUGCACUCGCCUCUCGUGGGCUUGGGCCUCUCAAAAAUUUCACUGGGCCAACAUCAAUUCUGGCAGCAGGAUAAAUCAUUAAGAAUGUAGCUACUUCGGUAGUGUUAUAGCUUUUUGGAAUACUGUUAGCCGGGAUUGAGGACUGCGCUUCGGCAAGGAUGUUGGCAUAAUGGUUAAAUGCCGCCCGU